Molecule: unclassified non-coding RNA, 271 nt
Filed under: fungal sp.
Lineage: Eukaryota; Fungi
Description: partial internal transcribed spacer region
Rfam family: Eukaryotic small subunit ribosomal RNA (bases 1-46)
Source: RNAcentral
AAGUCGUAACAAGGUAACCGUAGGUGAACCUGCGGUUGGAUCAUUAUUGAAAUAAUGAGUGCUCAGUGCCCUUUUCACGAAGGGUGGCUAGCACGAUGGCUUCGGCCAUUAACCCCUGUGAGACUGUUUAUUGACUUUGGGUCGUUAUUGCCCGUCUCCCUUUACUGUGGGGGUAUGACAUGGCGGCCCAAUAAAUCUAUUAAACCUGAUAUUCUAAGUCUUAUCUUGUUUAUAAAAGAAACAACUUUUGACAACGGAUCUCUAGGCUCUC